CUCUCGUUUCUGUCUGUAGGUUUCUCCAUAAAAACCCAGAGGACCCAGCUGAAGUUCCUGCUGGAUUCCUGCGUGACAUUAACCCAUGUUCCAUAACAGUGAUCGAAAGUGCCUUAGUAGACCGUUCUGUGGGCAAGGCCAAAGUGUUUGAUAGGUUUCAGUUUGAGAGAGUGGGUUAUUUUUCUGUUGACCCGGAUAGCACAUCUGAAAAGUUGGUGUUCAACAGAACCGUUACGCUCAAGGAGGACCCAGGAAAGAUAUGACUGGACUGCAAGACAGAAGCUGUACUUUCAGCUGCACAGCCUUAAUGCAUCACAACGCAGCUUUCAGUAAAAUCAAAUAAACCAGGGGAUUCAACGUAUUCUAUCAAUAUUGUGUAAAGCCUUUUUUUUAACUGUACAAGUGCUGGGCUGUUUUGUAUAACCUUUUCAGUCUGCUGGGGUUCGGCAUCUAUGAAAUAAACUAAUUAAAGAUUUUGACUUGAUGGCUUGUUGGAACAGUUGCUAACAUGUGAAA
Long non-coding RNA from Sinocyclocheilus anshuiensis, 516 nucleotides. RefSeq lists it as uncharacterized. NCBI's taxonomy places the organism in Eukaryota, Metazoa, Chordata, Actinopteri, Cypriniformes, Cyprinidae. The transcript has 3 exons. The record is from RefSeq and is a predicted model, not a curated record.